This 460-nucleotide ribosomal RNA is filed under the name uncultured bacterium. Its description in RNAcentral is "partial 16S ribosomal RNA". It matches the Rfam family "Bacterial small subunit ribosomal RNA", at positions 338 to 795 of the family's 1533-position model. The record is from RNAcentral.
CCUACGGGUGGCUGCAGUGAGGAAUAUUGGUCAAUGGGCGCGAGCCUGAACCAGCCAAGUCGCGUGAGGGAGGACGGCCCUACGGGUUGUAAACCUCUUUUGCCGGGGAGCAACGAGCGCCACGUGUGGCGUCACUGAUAGUACCCGGACAAAAAGCAUCGGCUAACUCCGUGCCAGCAGCCGCGGUAAUACGGAGGAUGCGAGCGUUAUCCGGAUUUAUUGGGUUUAAAGGGUGCGUAGGCGGAUCGUUAAGUCGGUGGUAAAUUUGAGGGGCUCAACCCCUUCCCGCCAUUGAUACUGGCGUUCUUGAGUGGAAGAGAAGUAUGUGGAAUGCGUGGUGUAGCGGUGAAAUGCAUAGAGAUCACGCAGAACCCCGAUUGCGAAGGCAGCAUGCCGGCUUCCGACUGACGCUGAAGCACGAAAGCGUGGGGAUCGAACAGGAUUAGAUACCCUUGUAGUC